Molecule: long non-coding RNA, 180 nt
Filed under: Cavia porcellus (domestic guinea pig)
Lineage: Eukaryota; Metazoa; Chordata; Mammalia; Rodentia; Caviidae
Description: lncRNA (ENSCPOG00000035670.1)
Source: RNAcentral
GGGCCAUGGAGCUGUGAUGAGCUGUCCUAUCAUCCCUGUAGAACUUGGCUCUCUUGGCCAAGUUCCCUCUACUUCCACCACCAGCUGCCACAGAAAUGGAAGUCAAUCCUGAGCAGCACCCAAAUGCAUUGAGAGGGAGCAGAUUCCAAGGAGCCAUCUUCCUGAUCACUAAAUUAUUAU